This 254-nucleotide ribosomal RNA is filed under the name uncultured bacterium. RNAcentral describes it as "partial 16S ribosomal RNA". It matches the Rfam family "Bacterial small subunit ribosomal RNA", at positions 524 to 776 of the family's 1533-position model. The record is from RNAcentral.
UACGGGGGGGGGCAAGCGUUGUUCGGAAUUACUGGGCGUAAAGGGCUGGUAGGCGGCCAACUAAGUCGGAUGUGAAAUCCCCAGGCUUAACCUGGGAACUGCAUCCGAUACUGGUCGGCUUGAAUCCGGGAGAGGGAUGCAGAAUUCCAGGUGUAGCGGUGAAAUGCGUAGAUAUCUGGAGGAAUACCGGUGGCGAAGGCGGCAUCCUGGACCGGCAUUGACGCUGAACAGCGAAAGCUAGGGGAGCAAACGGG